Molecule: long non-coding RNA, 454 nt
Filed under: Carica papaya (papaya)
Lineage: Eukaryota; Viridiplantae; Streptophyta; Magnoliopsida; Brassicales; Caricaceae
Description: long non-coding RNA (CPAP_LNC006707)
Source: RNAcentral
CCAAAAUAUCAAAAAAGAAAUACUAGCUUACAUCACUACAGAAAACAAGUGAAAUAUAAUGUGAAUUGAGAUGAUAAUUUCUAAACUAGGAUAAGAUACUAAAAGCUCAGUUUCCUGGAGAUGUUGAACACUCAAGGAGUAAUAAUGGGUCCUGAUUAUCUCAUUUUUGUCACUAAGUUUUUCUGCUUGGUAGAACAAAUGGCCCACAAUCAAGAAGGCACUCUCAAAGAGUAAUGGGAUACUAAAAGCUCAGUUUCCUGGAGAUGUUGAACACUCAAGGAGUAAUGGGUCCUGAUUAUCUCAUUUUUGUCACAAAGUUUUUCUGCUUGGUAGAACAAAUGGCCCACAAUCAAGAAGGCACUUACUCAUGAGAGGCCACCCCAAAUAUCCCUACAACAUGUUAAUGUAGUCAUUCCCAGACACGUGAAAUGUAAAUAGGUAUAUAUCUAGAAAG